CUUACACAUGCAAGUCACUUGAAUUUGGGUUUUUAACUUAGGUUUGGGUGGCGGACGGGUGAGUAACGCGUAAAGAACUUGCCUCACAGCUAGGGACAACAUUUGGAAACGAAUGCUAAUACCUAAUAUUAUGAUAAUAGGGCAUCCUAUAAUUAUGAAAGCUAUAAGCGCUGUGAGAGAGCUUUGCGUCCCAUUAGCUAGUUGGAGAGGUAACGGCUCACCAAGGCGAUGAUGGGUAGCCGGCCUGAGAGGGUGAUCGGCCACAAGGGGACUGAGACACGGCCCUUACUCCUACGGGAAGCAGCAGUGGGGAAUAUUGGACAAUGGACCAAGAGUCUGAUCCAGCAAUUCUGUGUGCACGAUGAAGUUUUUCGGAAUGUAAAGUGCUUUCAGUUGGGAAGAAAGAAAUGACGGUACCAACAGAAGAAGUGACGGCUAAAUACGUGCCAGCAGCCGCGGUAAUACGUAUGUCACGAGCGUUAUCCGGAUUUAUUGGGCGUAAAGCGCGUCUAGGUGGUUAUGUAAGUCUGAUGUGAAAAUGCAGGGCUCAACUCUGUAUUGCGUUGGAAACUGUAUAACUAGAGUACUGGAGAGGUAAGCGGAACUACAAGUGUAGAGGUGAAAUUCAUAGAUAUUUGUAGGAAUGCCGAUGGGGAAGCCAGCUUACUGGACAGAUACUGACGCUGAAGCGCGAAAGCGUGGGUAGCAAACAGGAUUAGAUACCCUGGUAGUCCACGCCGUAAACGAUGAUUACUAGGUGUUGGGGGUCGAACCUCAGCGCCCAAGCAAACGCGAUAAGUAAUCCGCCUGGGGAGUACGUACGCAAGUAUGAAACUCAAAGGAAUUGACGGGGACCCGCACAAGCGGUGGAGCAUGUGGUUUAAUUCGACGCAACGCGAGGAACCUUACCAGCAUUUGACAUCUUAGGAAUGAGAC
RNAcentral lists this ribosomal RNA (936 nucleotides) under uncultured bacterium. RNAcentral describes it as "bacterial SSU rRNA". It matches the Rfam family "Bacterial small subunit ribosomal RNA", at positions 48 to 1001 of the family's 1533-position model. The record is from RNAcentral.